AAUGAACGCUGGCGGCAUGCCUUACACAUGCAAGUCGAACGGCAGCAUGACCUAGCUUGCUAGGUUGAUGGCGAGUGGCGAACGGGUGAGUAAUGCAUCGGAACGUGCCUUUUAGUGGGGGAUAACGUAGCGAAAGUUACGCUAAUACCGCAUAUUCUCUGAGGAGGAAAGCAGGGGACCUUCGGGCCUUGCGCUAGAAGAGCGGCCGAUGUCGGAUUAGCUAGUUGGUGAGGUAAAGGCUCACCAAGGCAACGAUCCGUAGCGGGUUUGAGAGGAUGAUCCGCCACACUGGGACUGAGACACGGCCCAGACUCCUACGGGAGGCAGCAGUGGGGAAUUUUGGACAAUGGGCGCAAGCCUGAUCCAGCCAUGCCGCGUGAGUGAAGAAGGCCUUCGGGUUGUAAAGCUCUUUCGGCUGGGAAGAAAUCGCACCCUCUAAUACAGGGUGUGGAUGACGGUACCAGCAUAAGAAGCACCGGCUAACUACGUG
This 490-nucleotide ribosomal RNA is filed under the name uncultured bacterium. RNAcentral describes it as "partial 16S ribosomal RNA". It matches the Rfam family "Bacterial small subunit ribosomal RNA", at positions 29 to 507 of the family's 1533-position model. The record is from RNAcentral.